GACCCGCGCGGCGGCGCUCGACGGCGGAUUCCCGGGCAGCGAGGCGCGCGCGGGGCUGGCUUCGGUUCAGAUCCGCGGCCUCGCCUUGUCGUUCGCGGUCGGAGGCUGGGCGCCGGCGCUAAUGGGAAUCCGGGCAGCGCGGCAGGCGGGACUCAGACCUGGCCACCGCGUCAGGUGGACCUGGGCUCUGGUCUCGGCUCCCCGGCUCGCGUUUGUGUUGACCUUGGCCCAAGCGCAGUGUGCUCUAUGGCGAAAUCCGAGUAGGAGUGACCCCUCUGGGGUGAUAUCGAGCGUGCUGGCGUUCCUUUCAGCGGCACAGGGAUUGCAGGGUGCAGAGUCAUGAGAACAUCACUGUCCCGGGAAGGGACCCUGAGUGGCAGGCAGCCCCAGAGCGGACUGACCGAAGCGCGCGCUGGACGUUUCCUCCCUGUGUUCCUUCGCAGUGUCGAGUUUCCUCCGCCCUCUGCCCUCCCUCUUUUUUGCGUGUAACCAUCAGAAGGGUUGCAAAACUCGUGCCAGGAACACCCAG
Molecule: long non-coding RNA, 529 nt
Filed under: Marmota monax (woodchuck)
Lineage: Eukaryota; Metazoa; Chordata; Mammalia; Rodentia; Sciuridae
Source: RNAcentral